This 460-nucleotide ribosomal RNA is filed under the name uncultured bacterium. Its description in RNAcentral is "partial 16S ribosomal RNA". It matches the Rfam family "Bacterial small subunit ribosomal RNA", at positions 338 to 795 of the family's 1533-position model. The record is from RNAcentral.
CCUACGGGAGGCAGCAGUGAGGAAUAUUGGUCAAUGGUCGGGAGACUGAACCAGCCAAGCCGCGUGAGGGAGGAAGGCCCAGUGGAUUGUAAACUUCUUUUGUAAGGGAAUAAAGUCUUCCACGCGUAGGCGUUUGUGUGUACCUUAUGAAUAAGGAUCGGCUAACUCCGUGCCAGCAGCCGCGGUAAUACGGAGGAUUCGAGCGUUAUCCGGAUUUAUUGGGUUUAAAGGGAGCGUAGGUGGUCUGUUAAGUCAGGGGUGAAAGGUAGCGGAUCAACCCACGACUGGCCGUGGAAACUGGCAGUCUCGAGUGCAGUAGAGGUGGGCGGAAUUCGAGGUGUAGCGGUGAAAUGCAUAGAUAUCACGAAGAACUCCGAUUGCGAAGGCAGCAUGCCGGCCCGACACUGACGCUGAGGCACGAAAGCGUGGGUAUCAAACAGGAUUAGAUACCCCUGUAGUC